UAAAGAAACUGUACUACCUCAGGCUAUGAUCUCGUCAGCUCUCAUAAGCUAAACAGGGACAGGCUUGACCAGUACUUCAAGAGAAACCUCCGAGGAAACCAUAGCUGCUCCAGGAA
This 116-nucleotide ribosomal RNA is filed under the name Crocodylus porosus (Australian saltwater crocodile). Lineage: Eukaryota; Metazoa; Chordata; Crocodylia; Crocodylidae. The record is from RNAcentral.